Non-coding RNA from Candidatus Gottesmanbacteria bacterium, 72 nucleotides. NCBI's taxonomy places the organism in Bacteria, Candidatus Gottesmaniibacteriota. The record is from Rfam.
GCCAGGGUAGCUCAAUGGUGGAGCAGAGAUUUCAUAAGUCUAAGGUUGAGAGUCCGAUCCUCUCCCCUGGCA